CCUACGGGAGUCAGCAGUGGGGGAUAUUGCACAAUGGGGGAAACCCUGAUGCAGCGACGCCGCGUGUGGGAAGACGGUCCUCUGGAUUGUAAACCACUGUCCCCAGGGACGAAGCUGACGGUACCUGGGGAGGAAGCUCCGGCUAACUACGUGCCAGCAGCCGCGGUAAUACGUAGGGAGCGAGCGUUGUCCGGAAUUACUGGGUGUAAAGGGGGCGUAGGCGGGGAUGCAAGUUGGGGGUCAAAACGACCGGCUCAACUGGUAGUCGCACUCAAAACUGCGGCUCUUGAGUGAAGUAGAGGCAGGCGGAAUUCCUAGUGUAGCGGUGAAAUGCGUAGAUAUUAGGAGGAACACCAGUGGCGAAGGCGGCCUGCUGGGCUUUUACUGACGCUGAGGCUCGAAAGUGUGGGGAGCAAACAGGAUUAGAUACCCUUGUAGUC
RNAcentral lists this ribosomal RNA (440 nucleotides) under uncultured bacterium. RNAcentral's name for it is "partial 16S ribosomal RNA". It matches the Rfam family "Bacterial small subunit ribosomal RNA", at positions 338 to 795 of the family's 1533-position model. The record is from RNAcentral.